This 550-nucleotide long non-coding RNA is filed under the name Papio anubis (olive baboon). RNAcentral describes it as "lncRNA (ENSPANG00000040443.1)". The record is from RNAcentral. Lineage: Eukaryota; Metazoa; Chordata; Mammalia; Primates; Cercopithecidae.
AACUCCAAGUUUUCAAGCCUUCAGACUCCAUGACUUAUGCCUCUGGCUCUGCUGGUUCUCGGGCCUUUAGGCUCAGACUGAAUCACACCACCCACCUCCCUGGCUCUCCAGCUUGCAGACGGAGAUGGCAGGACUUCUCAGCUUCUACAGUCACGAGAGACCACGGAGCCUGGUGAGGGAGAUACACCUGCAAAGAGAACUUCAGUUCAGUAACAGCAACGGGCAUAGCCAGUGUGUUCACCAACUCAUGAGAGAUCACACUACCAACAUCGCCCGCUUGAUUUUCCCCAUCAACGAACAGCUUAUCCUGGAAACAAUCGUUUUAGUAGGCAUGAUGGCUCACGCCUAUAAUCCCAGAAUCUUGGGAGGCCGAGGCAGGAGGAUUGCUUGGGCCCAGGAGUUCGAGAUCAUCCUGAGCAAUAUGGUGAGGCCUUGUCUCUACAAGAAUAAAAAAAUAAGCUGGGCAUGGUGGCUCAUGCCUGUAUUCCCAGCUGCUCAGGGGUCUGAGAUGGGAGGAUUACUUGAGCCCAGGAAGUCAAGGCUGCAGUGA